Odocoileus virginianus texanus is the source of this 493-nucleotide non-coding RNA. NCBI's taxonomy places the organism in Eukaryota, Metazoa, Chordata, Mammalia, Artiodactyla, Cervidae. The record is from RefSeq and is a predicted model, not a curated record.
GGAUUCCAAAAAGUAAAUUGAGUGUCUGCGGUAUAUACAUUAUUAGAUAUUCAGAAAGAAAUGCUAAGUCAUGGAUCACAGAAGAGUGGAUUUUAAUGCAAUGACUAGCAUUAUAAGAAAAGAUUUGGGGCACAAGGAGUCAUAGGAGAAGGUGAGCUGAUGAUGCAAGCAGACUGGAAGACAAUCACAAGUCAAGGAAUGAAAGGAACUCCGGCAACCACCAAAAGGAUUCUUUGCACCGUUAUCAAGGAAUUUUAAACUCAAAUAGCAACAUGCUUCAUUAUUCUCUGACCUGAGAACUACUGGUAUUUUCAUGCCUUGAUGUCUGAUGAAAUGUAUGUUGUUAUAAAUGUUACUUGCUGUGUUAGCCAGUCUCCAAGAUGACCCAAUGAUCUCUGCUUGCUGAUAUUCAUGUCUUUGUGUUGUCCCUGUAAACACUGAGUCAGCACUGGUGUAUAUGGCUAUAGAAUAUGACAGAAGAAAUAAUAUGUAA